CACGUAGUUAGCCGUGGCUUCCUCAUAAAGUACCGUCACUUGCAUGUCAUUCCCUACAUGCAUCGUUCUUCCUUUAUAACAGGAGGUUUACAUACCGAAAUACUUCCUCCCUCACGCGGCGUUGCUCGGUCACGGGUUCCCCCCAUUGACCGAAAAUUCCCUACUGCUGCCCUCCCGUAGGAGUCUGGGCCGUGUCUCACGUCCCAGUGUGGCCGUCCACCCUCUCGAGGUCGGCUACGCAUCGUCGCCUUGGUAGGCCGUUACCCUACCAACUAGCUAAUGCGCCAUAACGUCCAUCCUUCAGCUAUCCCGGUGGGAUAUUAAUAUGUCGAUCAUGCGAUUCUUCAUACCUAUGCGGUCUUAGCUAUCUAUUUCUAAUAGUUACUCCCCCUUACUUAAGGCCUAGGUUACUUAUGUUAUUACUCUACCCGUUCGCCACUCAUAUCCGAAGAUAUGCGUUCGACUUGCAUGUAUUAGGCACGCCGCCAGCGUUCACUCCUGACGCCAGGAU
This 511-nucleotide ribosomal RNA is filed under the name uncultured Coprobacillus sp. RNAcentral's name for it is "partial 16S ribosomal RNA". Lineage: Bacteria; Bacillati; Bacillota; Erysipelotrichia; Erysipelotrichales; Coprobacillaceae. The record is from RNAcentral.